AUACUUACCUGGCAGGGGAGAUACCAUGAUCAGCAAGGUGGUUUUCCCAGCGUGAGGCUCAUCCAUUGCACUGCGGGUGUGCUGACCUCUGUGAUUUCCCCAAAUGUGGGAAACUCAACUGCGCACCAGGGGAAAGCGCGAACGCAGUCCCCCA
Molecule: small nuclear RNA, 154 nt
Filed under: Chelydra serpentina (North American snapping turtle)
Lineage: Eukaryota; Metazoa; Chordata; Testudines; Chelydridae
Description: U1 spliceosomal RNA (ENSCSRG00000012469.1)
Rfam family: U1 spliceosomal RNA
About the family: U1 is a small nuclear RNA (snRNA) component of the spliceosome (involved in pre-mRNA splicing). Its 5' end forms complementary base pairs with the 5' splice junction, thus defining the 5' donor site of an intron.
Source: Rfam by way of RNAcentral